AACGAACGCUGGCGGCAUGCCUAACACAUGCAAGUCGAACGAGACCUUCGGGUCUAGUGGCGCACGGGUGCGUAACGCGUGGGAACCUGCCCUUAGGUUCGGAAUAACUCCCCGAAAGGGGUGCUAAUACCGGAUAAUGUCUUCGGACCAAAGAUUUAUCGCCUUUGGAUGGGCCCGCGUUGGAUUAGCUAGUUGGUAGGGUAAAAGCCUACCAAGGCGACGAUCCAUAGCUGGUCUGAGAGGAUGAUCAGCCACACUGGGACUGAGACACGGCCCAGACUCCUACGUGAGGCAGCAGUGGGGAAUAUUGGACAAUGGGCGAAAGCCUGAUCCAGCAAUGCCGCGUGAGUGAUGAAGGCCUUAGGGUUGUAAAGCUCUUUUAACCGGGAUGAUAAUGACAGUACCGGGAGAAUAAGCUCCGGCUAACUCCGUG
This 433-nucleotide ribosomal RNA is filed under the name uncultured bacterium. RNAcentral describes it as "partial 16S ribosomal RNA". It matches the Rfam family "Bacterial small subunit ribosomal RNA", at positions 29 to 507 of the family's 1533-position model. The record is from RNAcentral.